This 67-nucleotide transfer RNA is filed under the name Ovis aries (sheep). It matches the Rfam family "tRNA". Rfam says of the family: Transfer RNA (tRNA) molecules are approximately 80 nucleotides in length. Their secondary structure includes four short double-helical elements and three loops (D, anti-codon, and T loops). Further hydrogen bonds mediate the characteristic L-shaped molecular structure. tRNAs have two regions of fundamental functional importance: the anti-codon, which is responsible for specific mRNA codon recognition, and the 3' end, to which the tRNAs corresponding amino acid is attached (by aminoacyl-tRNA synthetases). tRNAs cope with the degeneracy of the genetic code in two manners: having more than one tRNA (with a specific anti-codon) for a particular amino acid; and 'wobble' base-pairing, i.e. permitting non-standard base-pairing at the 3rd anti-codon position. Lineage: Eukaryota; Metazoa; Chordata; Mammalia; Artiodactyla; Bovidae. The record is from Rfam by way of RNAcentral.
GUGGUAGCUCAGUCAGUAAAGAAUCUGCCUGCAAUGCAGAAGGCCCAGGUUCGAUCCCUGGGUCACG